This 253-nucleotide ribosomal RNA is filed under the name uncultured bacterium. Its description in RNAcentral is "partial 16S ribosomal RNA". It matches the Rfam family "Bacterial small subunit ribosomal RNA", at positions 524 to 776 of the family's 1533-position model. The record is from RNAcentral.
UACGUAGGUGGCAAGCGUUGUCCGGAUUUACUGGGCGUAAAGAGCGCGCAGGCGGUCGGAUCAGUCGAAUGUGAAAGCCCCCGGCUCAACUGGGGAGGGUCAUUCGAUACUGUCCGACUCGAAGGCAGGAGAGGGUAGUGGAAUUCCCGGUGUAGUGGUGAAAUGCGUAGAUAUCGGGAGGAACACCAGUGGCGAAGGCGACUACCUGGCCUGUUCUUGACGCUGAGGCGCGAAAGCUAGGGGAGCAAACGGG